GAUGAACGCUAGCUACAGGCUUAACACAUGCAAGUCGAGGGGCAGCACGGUGUAGCAAUACACUGGUGGCGACCGGCGCACGGGUGCGUAACGCGUAUGCAACCUACCCAUAACAGGGGGAUAACACUGAGAAAUUGGUACUAAUACCCCAUAACAUCAGGACCGGCAUCGGUUCUGGUUGAAAACUCCGGUGGUUAUGGAUGGGCAUGCGUUGUAUUAGCUGGUUGGUGAGGUAACGGCUCACCAAGGCAACGAUACAUAGGGGGACUGAGAGGUUAACCCCCCACAUUGGUACUGAGACACGGACCAA
RNAcentral lists this ribosomal RNA (310 nucleotides) under uncultured bacterium. RNAcentral describes it as "bacterial SSU rRNA". It matches the Rfam family "Bacterial small subunit ribosomal RNA", at positions 28 to 334 of the family's 1533-position model. The record is from RNAcentral.